GACCCCCAGUAACAUUAAAAAAAGUUGCAAGGAUUUAGUGAAGUAAAGAGUAAGGUGCCAUUCAGCCCUCCAGUUUGCUUUCAGCUAGGAACUAAACAAGGAUGGGAACUAUUUGGUUUAAUAAAUCUGGAUGGAGAUGGAAUAAUAGGUAUAGAUAUAUUGAAAAACUUUAAAUUAAUAUUAGAUUUGGUAAAUAAAGUAUGAGAAAUAAAACAAAGGUCUUAGACCACCCAGUUGUUAUUGAAGCAGGAUACAGGUUAGCUACCCUUAAGGCUGCUGAGGAAAUAGAAUGGCCCAACUAGCCAGCAGAAGUAGUAGAAAUUGCAAAGAAACAUAAAGAAGUUUGGGCCACCAAUAAAAUAGAAUGUGGGAAAAUUAACUCAGAAGUUUUAAUUACUGGACCUGAUCCCCCACCCCAAAAGCAGUAUAAGUAUCCCAAAGAAGCAGAACCUAGUCUAAUGAAAACUAUUCAAGGGCUCUUGGAGCAAAGAGUCAUAAUAGAACAACAAAGUACAAAUAAUGAAGCCAUUUGGUCAGUUCUAAAAGCAGAUGGUAAACCUGGAGGGUUAACUAUUGAUUUCAAACCACUCAACAAAGUAACUCCAAUGACUGCUCCAGUGGUAGCUAAAUAUCCAGAAGUAAUAGCCUCUAUUAUGGAAGGUUUACAUAAUAAGCCCAGUGGUUUACAGUUCUAGAUUUGGCAAAUAUGUUCUUUGCUAUACCUUUACAUCAACAUUCUUGCUAUAAAUUUGCAUUUACAUUUCAAAGACAGCAGUAUGUAUUCACCAGAACUCCAUAGGGUUUCCAUAAUAGUCCUGCUGUUGUCAUAUGCAUGUGAUUAAGAUUGGACCAAUCUUACAGCCACAAGAGUGGCAAAUAGGUGAUAUGGUUAUGUAUAGAUGAGUUAAAGAAAAGGGUCAUGUGCUUAGUCCAACAUGGAUAGGACCAGUAAGAAUAGUUAAUAAAGCUAGUCCAUUGGUAUAUCAAUUAGAGAUCCAAAAAGGAAAAAGAAAAGUGUCAAAAUGGUUCUAUUCAUCACAAUUGAAAAGGUGAAAGGGAGAAUCAAAAUAGUAAUAAUCUCUCUCUUAUAGGAAAAGAAAAGAAUGGAAUAAAAAAAAUGCAACAGGAAGGAAUGCAAAAAGAAGUAUGGGAUGAAAGAGUCUGGUAUGAAUUUCCAGAAUUCCCAGAACAAGACCUCAAUGACUUAUUUGAAAGUGUACCAGUUAUAGAAACUAUUAACUCCAAAUCCAAUAAUAGAACAAUAGCACUGAUAAGUCAGGUGAUGGAACAAUCACCCCAAGUUAUAACAUAAUUGUGGAAAGACCAACAUGGAAGGCCAAUAAUAGUCAUAAAUAUAGACAAAGGAAAAAUUCAACAAUUAUAUUACUUAGACACAGGAUCUACCUAUUCAGUGUUAAAUAAUACAGUAUAUAUAAUACAACAGACUUUCUCUCAUAUACUUCUCCAGAAAGAGCAGAAAUACAGGGAAUAAGAAGAAAAUUCUACUGAGUGUUCCACUCAUAGUUGGCAUAAGAAAUAAAGAAGUAAAGAAUGUGCAUUUUGGAAUAAUGAAACUUGGGGUAAAUGGACUUUGAAUAGUAGGGGUAGAUAUUCUCAAAGUGUUGCAAUACUCAAUAGAUCUUGUAAAAAAACCAUUCAAUGGGCAAUAGAGUAAUGUAAGAAUAAGUUUUUUUUAAAAGGGGAAAUGUGUGUAAAAUAAAAAUAAAAUGUGUGUGGAAUUUUUUGUUUAAUUAUUAAAUUUAAUAGAGAACGAGAGAAAGACAGAAAAAGAAAGGAGAGAGUGAGAAAGAAAAGGAAGCCUGGCAGGAGAGUGGUUUGAGGACCUCCUGGAAUCAAAUGAACAAUAAAUAUUAAAUUAAUAAUUGUCAUUAUGACAUAUUUAUUAAUUAAAUAAUUAAUAAAUAUGUCAUAGAAGAAGAGGAUAGUGGUAUAGAUAAACAGCCAGAAGAGGAUGAGGAGGUGCCAGCUAUGGUUAUAACCCAGCUGUUUUUCAACCCAUCUGGAAGACCUUAACCCAAUAAGAGUUAAUCCAGCAGAGGCAGAAAUGCUCUGUUACCUAGAUAAGGGGUCUAACAUUCCAAUUUUAAACAUAGCGAUAGACUUUGACCUUUUGCAGUAUGCCUCGGAUUAUAUAUAUAUAUAUAUAUAUAUAUAUAUAUAUAUAUAUAUAUAUGAUUAUGGGAGCAUUAGGAGGACAGACCCCAAUUUCCCUGACCAGACCAAUAUCAAUUAAGGUAAGAUUUUGACAAUUGAGUGAUGGUCCAGAAGGACACAGUCAUAUGGAAUAAUCAGCAUGGAUAUUAUAGGAAUGUUGGAUUGUCUGAUUGAUGUGUGGAAUAAAAUAUUAUGGGAUACCAAUUAAAAGGAAAAAAAUUGUUGUUAAAAUAGGUAGUCAAAGUAUUACUGUAUUAAAAUAGUUGGUUAGUUUAUGUAAUAGUAAUAGUUUAAUAAUAAUUAAAAAUAGGUAAAAUAGUAUAAGAUAUAUGUUAUAUAUAUUUUUCAUAAAGUUAAUGGUUAAUUAAGUAAAUACAUACUUUUUAUAAGGAAAAGGGGUCUUUUGUUAUUCCUGUCUUCCAGACAAGAAAAGCCAGAUGGUGGAAGAUGCAAUUCUAUUCAUCCUGGCUCUUCUGGAUAUUUAUAGCUACUGGAUUCUGCUAAUGGUAGUGUGAAUUUGGAUGUGAAGAAAUAAAAAAUGAUGAUUCAGUGGACCAAGUCCAAUCAAACGGCUAUUGCUAAUAGUAAUGUGGGGUGUUUUCUUAUAAUUCCAGAAAUAAGUGCUAAACUCAGAAUAGUAAAAGUUGUAGUGGGACCUAUAAGGGUUAUAAAUUUUAUUGCACAAAAUCACUUUGGCAAAAUGUUUAUUACAGAAGAUGCUCGUAAAUGUUUUAUUAUAUUCUCCUCUCUAGGUAAGGGAACCUUAGGAACCUCACCAGAGUCAACAAAAUGUGAAUUGGCAGCUGAAGAAGGAAAAGGUGCAAUAUAGGGAAAAGCAGAAAGAACCGGACAAUGGCAAAGCACGCUAAUAGACAAGUUUGAAAUAUUUGCACGUUCCAAUAGUCUCUUGGUAGCACUAGAAAGAAUAACUAGUACCCCUUCUGUAAUUAAAAUACCAACAAAUAGCAUCCAGACAAAAGAAAAGAAAAAUAAUAUUAUAAUGAUGUGUGAAUGGUCUUCAGACAAUAAGAAGAAAUGGAGUUUAAUACAUGAAGCCAAAAUAUUAAAUAUGAAAGAGGACCAUACCCGAUGGAUAAACCCAUCUAAUCCAUGGGAUAAAGGGUAAAUUAUCUAAAUUUCUGUCAUAUUAAUUGGACAAAAAUAUAAAUGGAUUUGGGUAAACAAGGAAGAAACAUGGGCACAUGUGUCAAUGACAUAUUGACUACAACAAAUAUGACAAUUGUAAAUGAUGGCCCAGGAAAAGAUAAACCUAUGCUGUGGUACAAAGGGGAAGGGGUUUGUAUAUGGAAUGACACAGGAAGAAGCAAUUGUACACAAGUUUUAGGAAGAAGCUUUUCAUGUGCCUUCAUAGCAUGGCAUGCCCCCAAAUGGACAAAAGAUGAUAAAGAAUUAAUAUUAUUAAAAUGGGUUCAUAACAAUGCUAGGAUAAAAGAUGCUUCAUUUAAUGUCAUGAGCCACAGGGAGGAGUUAGCAGAAUAAACAUCAGUGUGAAGUAUGACCAAAAGUUAUAUUUAGAAAUUAAUUAAGCCUGCAAGUACCCUGGUAUGAACAAAUGAUAGGAGGUAGUGAAUGUAAGGGAAACAGUUCAGGACAAAUUUUGUUUGUCUAUUGGGGUGACAGUAGUGUAAUUAUAACAAAACAAUGUGAAAGUGGAAUAUGGAGAAUUACUGGCCCUAAUUUCAAUUAUACUUUUACUAUUCUAUGGAUAUUCAAGCCUAAACAAAUCCACAUUGGUCCUUAUGUAAUAAAGGAGGAGGUUAAAAGACAAUAAUAGACACCGCUUAUUCUUUAAAAAAGGUAAUAGUGAAUUUAGCCUCUAUGAAUAUUUCAUCCACACAGCCACAAUGUAUUAAAUAUGUUGAACCUCAAUAGAUACAGCGCUAGUAGGAGCAGGCACAGAACUUGGAGUACUAAACGGUAUAGAUGUACAGGUGUUGGCUAACAAGUUAAGUGUAGUAGGACAGCACCGACGAGCUUUGUCCAAGCUUUAAAAACAUCUUUAAAUGACAUAAGCACCAGUCAUUUUCUAAUAGCUAGCCUACUCUCUAGCUGGGAAAAAUUACAAAAAGCUGAUCAUUUAACCAUACUACAUACAGUAGAGGUAUUGCAAAGCAAUUUAUCCAUGGCAUUGGCUUUCAUACAAGGACAGAUUUGGACUAAUGACGUGGUAAAAGAUAUUUUAAGAGAUGGAAUGAGUGGAAUCUUACCUUUAGAAAUAAGAAGUAUAGUACAGAAACAUGCCACUAAGGCUGAACAAAAUUAAUAUUCCUUGUGGAAGAUGGUGAAUUUCACAUACAAUCCUCAACUAAAACAAAUUACCACAUUCAUAGUCAUAAUGUCUAAUGCCCAAAUUGAAUGGAUAUCUCCUAUUGUAGCGCUAGGGUUAAAUGUUAAUAACAGCAUAAUGCAAUUUAUAGAACACAAAUUAUGGGCCAUAAGGCAAAACUUUAUAUGCAAAACUGUGGAACUUGAAGCUUGUAUGGAAGAACAUGGAAUUGGAUAAAAUUGCAAUAGUAAUGUAAUCCAGCCAUAUGAUGUAUGUUUAAAUGAUGAAAGGAGAAAGUCAUUGUCAGUUAGACCCUUUCCCAUUUAAUGGAUCAGUUGUAUAUAUUGGAAAUAAAUGUGUAUGUGUUAGAAGUU
Molecule: long non-coding RNA, 4836 nt
Organism: Dermochelys coriacea (leatherback sea turtle)
Lineage: Eukaryota; Metazoa; Chordata; Testudines; Dermochelyidae
Exons: 2
Source: RefSeq, a predicted model, not a curated record